This 73-nucleotide transfer RNA is filed under the name Chloroflexota bacterium. RNAcentral's name for it is "tRNA-Asp". It matches the Rfam family "tRNA". From Rfam's summary of the family: Transfer RNA (tRNA) molecules are approximately 80 nucleotides in length. Their secondary structure includes four short double-helical elements and three loops (D, anti-codon, and T loops). Further hydrogen bonds mediate the characteristic L-shaped molecular structure. tRNAs have two regions of fundamental functional importance: the anti-codon, which is responsible for specific mRNA codon recognition, and the 3' end, to which the tRNAs corresponding amino acid is attached (by aminoacyl-tRNA synthetases). tRNAs cope with the degeneracy of the genetic code in two manners: having more than one tRNA (with a specific anti-codon) for a particular amino acid; and 'wobble' base-pairing, i.e. permitting non-standard base-pairing at the 3rd anti-codon position. Lineage: Bacteria; Bacillati; Chloroflexota. The record is from RNAcentral.
GGUCCGUUGGUCGAGUGGUCAAAACGCCUCUCCGUCACGGAGGAGAUCAGGGGUUCGAUCCCCCUACGGACCG